This 404-nucleotide ribosomal RNA is filed under the name Actinomycetes bacterium. Its description in RNAcentral is "Actinobacteria bacterium partial 16S ribosomal RNA". It matches the Rfam family "Bacterial small subunit ribosomal RNA", at positions 355 to 776 of the family's 1533-position model. The record is from RNAcentral. Lineage: Bacteria; Bacillati; Actinomycetota; Actinomycetes.
UGGGGAAUAUUGGACAAUGGGCGCAAGCCUGAUCCAGCCAUGCCGCGUGAGUGAUGAAGGCUCUAGGGUUGUAAAGCUCUUUCACCGGUGAAGAUAAUGACGGUAACCGGAGAAGAAGCCCCGGCUAACUUCGUGCCAGCAGCCGCGGUAAUACGAAGGGGGCUAGCGUUGUUCGGAUUUACUGGGCGUAAAGCGCACGUAGGCGGACUUUUAAGUCAGGGGUGAAAUCCCGGGGCUCAACCCCGGAACUGCCUUUGAUACUGGAAGUCUUGAGUAUGGUAGAGGUUAGUGGAAUUCCGAGUGUAGAGGUGAAAUUCGUAGAUAUUCGGAGGAACACCAGUGGCGAAGGCGGCUCACUGGACCAUUACUGACACUGAGGUGCGAAAGCGUGGGGAGCAAACAGG